This 1789-nucleotide long non-coding RNA is filed under the name Homo sapiens (human). RNAcentral's name for it is "long intergenic non-protein coding RNA 2532". The record is from RNAcentral. Lineage: Eukaryota; Metazoa; Chordata; Mammalia; Primates; Hominidae.
UCCCUCUGUAUGCAGAAUAUUGUGCAACAUGGUUAUGGGUACUACAGUGGAUGUGAGUGUGUAGACCUUGUACAAUAGAGCUUAUAGGCUAAUGAGAAGACAGGAAGAAACAACAGGAACACAUAUAGCUGGAAUGCAGAUGGGAUCUGUGCUACUUACGCUAGCCAUGGGAUGAUUAGAACAAGAUAAGAGACAUGAGGAAGACUUCUUCAAGGAGGUGCUCAAGCCAUGUUUUGGAAAAGAGAACUCAAGGUCUGGCAGGGAGAAAGGAGCAAGAGUAGACUUUGAGUCUUUGCUUCAGAUGCAGAUCAAGAUGUGGCAACCUGUUGUGGAGAACUGGGUCCCUUGAGCCUGUGCUGUCUCUUUUUUUCUGGUGGCUUUGUCAUUUGGAACAAUGCAUAAUGGGCUGGAGGCUGAGAAACUCUGAGCUGAGGUCCUCUUCUCCCUGAAGGCUGUCACAGUUCCUGUGCAGAGAGAGAGGGCACUGCAGCACCCAGGCGCUGACUGCCUUUUGUCAGUCUCAUUUGCAGGCCCCCAGCUGGAGAACCCAGGAGGAAGAGGAAAAAAGUUUUUUCCUCCUCUACACUCCCCAUGCAUGACUAAAGAGUAGGAGGAGUCAGCAAGGCAGACAUAUAUAGUACCCAGGAGGUGGACAAACAACUGCCUUGGUGGAAACUCUGUCCUUUCUGGACUUAUCCUGGUGCCACUGAGACUGUGCAGGGCUUCUUUUGCUCAAUAUGGGACUCAUGAGAGUCAUCGGUGUUGUGUGAGGCAGCUGUUUGUUGAUUUUCUGGACCAAAUAAUGUUCCACCGUGUGACUGGACAUACCUUAGUCUAUCCAUUCUACCACUGAUGAGCAUAUUUAGAUCUACAAUCCACCUGGAAUUGAUUUUUGUAUAUGGAGUGAGGUCCCACACUUACAGGGAAAGCAUCACCCGAAAGUGAGAAUGCCUAGAGGCAGGAAUCAUGGAGGCUUCCUUAACCGUCUGUCUGCAACAGCAGGUGCUAGAGAUGACACUGCAGAGUAGAGAACAAAGGAAUCUUAGUAAUUGUUCAAUCCAAUCUCCACACUUUAAAGAUGAAGAAACUGGUAUUGAGAAAAAUACACAGCUUAUCCAAGGUUGCACUGCUGGUUGGUAGCUGAGAUGAAUUUAGAACCCACAUCUGAUGACUACACCAUAUUGCUCCCAGUUUUCCUGUCUGUUCCACAUGUAAAAGUCUGACUCUUCACUUCUCCUUUGAGUAUAUAGACUUUUAACAUUUUUGUAUGUCAAGAUGGACUUUUCCUCAUACCCAGCCCCUGCCUUUUCUCCUCCCUUCAUACCUUGCAGGAUCUUUAACAGAAUUUAAAAGGAGUUUUUUGUUUUGUUUUGAUGUAUCUAAUAAAAGUCAAGGGAGGGAGAGGGCCAGUAUAAGCAAGAGUACAGUUUCCUAGUUUGUAGAUGCGGUAGUCUGAGGAAUCAGAAACACACAAAGGUUUGGAGAACUGGUACAUGCUCCCAGGUGGGAAGCCAGGACUCUUGGUAGGAUCUUGAGGACAAGGCAAAGGACAAUAAGAGAGCGAGGGGAUCCUAGAGGUGGAAUCAAGGAAGAGAAACUAGAGAGAGAAAAAGGAACUGGCUAUCCAUCCAUGAUGGAUCCUGUGUGGACUGAUGGGUGGCUUGGCAUCAUCCUUUAGUAGACUUCAUGUGGUUGAAUAAUUGGCCAAUGGAAGGAAUUUCUUUUUUGGUAACAGACUCUGUGUGUACAGUUAUGGGUCUUAAUUUAUAAUAAAAGGUUACAUUGAAAA